Molecule: long non-coding RNA, 988 nt
Organism: Bombyx mori (domestic silkworm)
Lineage: Eukaryota; Metazoa; Arthropoda; Insecta; Lepidoptera; Bombycidae
Exons: 2
Source: RefSeq, a predicted model, not a curated record
AUAGUUCUUACAUCUUAAAGAUAAAAAAAGCUGUUAUCAUAUUUUAUGUAAAUGGAAAUGAAAAGAAACGGAAUAAAUUGUAAUUAAUUUCACUAAAGUAAUUUAAUUAUUUUAUUUAACUUAAUUUCAACACCAACUCGCUAUUGAUUCAUUUUACUCUUGAAUUAUAUUUCAUUCCUUUCUAUUUUAUUUUUCGAACAACAAUGUGGUUUCGGCUGAGAAAGAGUUAAUGGGCUUUUUUCCCUUUGCUUAGGAAACAUAGAUUAAACACAAAUAAAUAUGAGUUAAAAAAUUAGGUUAUAAGAAAAUUAAACUGUUGUGUUGAAAUUAGGAAAUAUUUAAUGAAUUAUAAAUAAUAUUCAUAAUUACAUUUGUUUUAAAACUCAAGGUGUAAAAUUAUUAAUAAAAAUACGCACAUAUGUGAUAUAAAAAUAUAAAAUAGUUUUAAAAUUCGUCUCACAAGAUUUUUAAUUCUACAGUGUAAAGAAAGCUGCAAGAAAAUAUAAUUAGCCUAAAAGCUGUCUUCUAUCAAACUCAAGAGGUCAAGAAAUUAACAGAUCAAGUACUAUUAAAUAGAAGAGUUUUAGAAAUAUCAAUAUGGGCAACACAGCUAAGCAAACGACAAAAAACAGAAAAAAAAACUUCUGUACUACAAAUAAUAAAGAAGACACAGGGCACUCCCGAAAUAAAAUAAUAAAAACAAUACAAAAUAAAAACAAAAGACUAAAAAAAACAUUAAAUAAGAAAAUAAAAUUUAAUGACAGUGGAGAGGAAGAAGUGGUCGAGAGAAGCAGCCAGACAAAUGAAAAUAGUCCGUUCACCCCUGAAGAAGAAGCUACUGUGAAAGAUGAAGAUAUUGAUAAAUUUUGUGACGAAUUAAAUGAAGAAGACAAUGAACAAUAUGAAAGCUGGGUUAAAUUAAUCGAAGAGAAAUUAGGGGCAAAUAAAAAAUAAAUAAAGUAAAUAUAAUUUAUUUAAUCUUGUUUGA